RNAcentral lists this ribosomal RNA (201 nucleotides) under Clostridioides difficile. RNAcentral describes it as "partial 23S ribosomal RNA". It matches the Rfam family "Bacterial large subunit ribosomal RNA", at positions 1598 to 1812 of the family's 2925-position model. The record is from RNAcentral. Lineage: Bacteria; Bacillati; Bacillota; Clostridia; Peptostreptococcales; Peptostreptococcaceae.
UUUCACACUGUCAAGAAAAGUCUCUAUCGAGGUUAAAGGUACCCGUACCGCAAACCGACACAGGUGGGUGAGGGGAGUAUCCUAAGGCCAGCGAGAGAACUGUUGUUAAGGAACUCGGCAAAAUGACACCGUAACUUAGGGAUAAGGGGUGCCACCAUCAGGUGGCCGCAGAGAAUAGGCCCAAGCGACUGUUUACCAAAA